This 107-nucleotide small nuclear RNA is filed under the name Dasypus novemcinctus (nine-banded armadillo). The record is from RNAcentral. Lineage: Eukaryota; Metazoa; Chordata; Mammalia; Cingulata; Dasypodidae.
GUGCUCAUGUUAACAGCACAUUUAUUAAAAUUGAAAUGAUACAGAGGAGAUUAGCAUGGCCCCUAUACAAGGAUGACAUGCAAGUUCAUGAAGUGUUCCGUAUUAAA